This 69-nucleotide transfer RNA is filed under the name Mantophryne lateralis (Victoria Archipelago frog). Its description in RNAcentral is "tRNA-Met". It matches the Rfam family "tRNA". Rfam says of the family: Transfer RNA (tRNA) molecules are approximately 80 nucleotides in length. Lineage: Eukaryota; Metazoa; Chordata; Amphibia; Anura; Microhylidae. The record is from RNAcentral.
AGUAAAGUCAGCUAAUCAAGCUCUUGGGCCCAUACCCCAAAAAUGUUGGUUAAACCCCCUCCUUUACUA